UCCCUUCAGCCUUCCUAAAGAAGUAAAAGAGAGAGAGCUCUCCCAAACUUUCCUCAUCUGCUGCCGCGGCAACCCACUCGGGCCACUGUGGGUGGGCAUCGAUCGAGGAAAAAAUCGAUCCCAAAUGAACCCUCUCUAAACCAUUACUUGAAAACCAAGCCUAAAAUCCCCUAAAAUGUAACCCUCUAUCCUAAAUCUAAAAAUAAAUCUAGUGGUUACCUUCGAAAGUCGAGGGCUUUGGCUCGGUGAAGAUCCGGUUCCGGCCAAGAACAAAGGAGAAGAUAGUGGCGGCUCGCGUGGCUGAGGGAAACCAAGGGGUUGAGCGUGUGUUUCUCGCGUGCUGGGCGGUGGCCGAUUCUUUGCUGGUAGCGACGACGGCUGGUGAGAUGUUUUUAAGGCAAACCCUAAAUUUGAACAAUCUAAACCAUUGGAUGUGUCCAGAUCUAACAGUUGGGAUUAGAGUUGGUUGGAGUUAAUGGUGAAAAAGCCCUAGUUGAGUUGGGCCUGUUGGUUUUGGGCCAGGUCCAGGCUGUUGUAAUCCGGAUCCGGGUUUGGGCCUCCUGCUUGGGUCUUGAUCCAAUUGUAAUUUGUAUCUAUUUUAUUUGGGUCCAUCUUUGAUUUGUAA
This is a long non-coding RNA of Hibiscus syriacus, 625 nucleotides long. RefSeq lists it as uncharacterized. Lineage: Eukaryota; Viridiplantae; Streptophyta; Magnoliopsida; Malvales; Malvaceae. The transcript has 2 exons. The record is from RefSeq and is a predicted model, not a curated record.